GAUGAACGCUGGCGGCGUGCCUAAUACAUGCAAGUCGAGCGAACAGACGAGGAGCUUGCUCCUCUGACGUUAGCGGCGGACGGGUGAGUAACACGUGGAUAACCUACCUAUAAGACUGGGAUAACUUCGGGAAACCGGAUCUAAUACCGGAUAAUAUAUUGAACCGCAUGGUUCAAUAGUGAAAGACGGUUUUGCUGUCACUUAUAGAUGGAUCCUCGCCGCAUUAGCUAGUUGGUAAGGUAACGGCUUACCAAGGCAACGAUGCGUAGCCGACCUGAGAGGAUGAUCGGCCACACUGGAACUGAGACACGGUCCAGACUCCUACGGGAGGCAGCAGUAGGGAAUCUUCCGCAAUGGGCGAAAGCCUGACGGAGCAACGCCGCGUGAGUGAUGAAGGUCUUCGGAUCGUAAAACUCUGUUAUUAGGGAAGAACAAAUGUGUAAGUAACUAUGCACGUCUUGACGGUACCUAAUCAGAAAGCCACGGCUAACUACGUG
This 497-nucleotide ribosomal RNA is filed under the name uncultured bacterium. Its description in RNAcentral is "partial 16S ribosomal RNA". It matches the Rfam family "Bacterial small subunit ribosomal RNA", at positions 28 to 507 of the family's 1533-position model. The record is from RNAcentral.